This 64-nucleotide transfer RNA is filed under the name Neofundulus sp. Paraguay. RNAcentral describes it as "tRNA-Cys". Lineage: Eukaryota; Metazoa; Chordata; Actinopteri; Cyprinodontiformes; Rivulidae. The record is from RNAcentral.
AGCCUUGAAUUUAAUAUGUUAGAUUGCAAAUCUAUAAAAGCAGGUUAAUUACCAGCCGGGGCUU